GAGUUUGAUCGUGGCUCAGGAUGAACGCUAGCGGCAAGCUUAAUACAUGCAAGUCGUGGGGCAGCAGGUCUGUAGCAAUACAGAUGCUGGCGACCGGCAAACGGGUGCGGAACACGUACACAACCUUCCUUUAAGUGGGGGAUAGCCCAGGGAAACUUGGAUUAAUACCCCGUAAUAUAUAGAAGUGGCAUCGCUUUUAUAUUAUAGCAGCAAUGCGCUUGAAGAUGGGUGUGCGGCUGAUUAGAUAGUUGGCGGGUAACGGCCCACCAAGUCGACGAUCAGUAACUGGUGUGAGAGCACGGACCAGUCACACGGGCACUGAGACACGGGCCGACUCCUAACGGGAGGCAAGCAGUAAGGAAUAUGGUCAAUGGACGCAAGUCUGAACCA
Molecule: ribosomal RNA, 390 nt
Filed under: uncultured Sphingobacterium sp.
Lineage: Bacteria; Pseudomonadati; Bacteroidota; Sphingobacteriia; Sphingobacteriales; Sphingobacteriaceae
Description: bacterial SSU rRNA
Rfam family: Bacterial small subunit ribosomal RNA
Source: RNAcentral